GUCUCAUGCCCUAUCAGCCUGAAGGCGCCCGAUCUCGUCUGAUCUCGGAAGCUAAGCAGGGUCGGGCCUGGUUAGGAUCUUGGAUGGGAGACCACCUGGGAAUCCCGGGUGCUCGAGGCU
RNAcentral lists this ribosomal RNA (120 nucleotides) under Bos taurus (domestic cattle). The record is from RNAcentral. Lineage: Eukaryota; Metazoa; Chordata; Mammalia; Artiodactyla; Bovidae.